This 253-nucleotide ribosomal RNA is filed under the name uncultured bacterium. RNAcentral's name for it is "partial 16S ribosomal RNA". It matches the Rfam family "Bacterial small subunit ribosomal RNA", at positions 524 to 776 of the family's 1533-position model. The record is from RNAcentral.
UACGUAGGUGGCGAGCGUUGUCCGGAUUUACUGGGCGUAAAGGGAGCGUAGGCGGCUUUUUAAGUGAGAUGUGAAAUACUCGGGCUUAACCUGAGUGCUGCAUUUCAAACUGGAAGUCUAGAGUGCAGGAGAGGAGAAGGGAAUUCCUAGUGUAGCGGUGAAAUGCGUAGAGAUUAGGAAGAACACCAGUGGCGAAGGCGCUUCUCUGGACUGUAACUGACGCUGAGGCUCGAAAGCGUGGGGAGCAAACAGG